AAACUUAUAAGGAUUUCCUUAGUAACGGCGAGCGAAAUGGGGAGAGUCCAGAUUGUUUAUCCUAUGGCCAUAUCAUAGGAAUUGUAGUCUGUAGAAGUGUUCUCAGUGGCGGUCUAAGCUUAAGUCCCCUGGAAGGGGGUGUCGAAGAGGGUGAGAGCCCCGUUGAGAUUAGACCCUGUCGCAUCAAGAGAUACUGUCACAGAGUCGGGUUGUUUGGAAAUGCAGCCCAAAUUGGGUGGUAAAUUUCGUCCAAGGCUACAUAUUUAUGAGAGGUCGAUAGAAAACAAGUACCGCGAGGGAAAGAUGAAAAGGACUUUGAAAAGAGAGUCAAAGAGUGCUUGAAAUUGUUGAGAGUGAAGCAAAUGUGGGUUGGCAAUGCGUCUCGGUUUCUUGUGGAACAGUUAUAUACUGGUUUGCUAUUUGACUUCUGGCGUGAUUCGAAGCGAAUUCUGGCAGCGAUUAAAAACCAAGGCAGCGAUUUAUAUGUUUGGAUAUAUGUUAUUGCCUAGAUUGUGGUAGGCAGCUCGCGUCAUUUUAACGUACCUUGGUACCGCGCGCUCCGGGCAUUGACUUGCGAGCUCCCCAUUUGACCCGUCUUGAAACACGGACCAAGGAGUCUGACAUGUGUGCAAGUCAACGAGUGAGAAAAUUGUGAGGCGAAAGGAAGCUGAUGCGGUGGGAUUGCCAUAUGGGCUGCAUCGCCGACCAACCUUGAUCAUUUGAAAAGGGUUUGAGUGUGAGCAUGCGUGUCGGGACCCGAAAGAUGGUGAACUAUGCCUGAGCGGGGUGAAGCCAGAGGAAACUCUGGUGGAGGCUCGUAUCGAUACUGACGUGCAAAUCGUUCGUCUGACUUGGGUAUAGGGGCGAAAGACUAAUCGAACCAUCUAGUAGCUGGUUCCCUCC
Molecule: ribosomal RNA, 903 nt
Filed under: Arceuthobium verticilliflorum
Lineage: Eukaryota; Viridiplantae; Streptophyta; Magnoliopsida; Santalales; Viscaceae
Description: eukaryotic LSU rRNA
Rfam family: Eukaryotic large subunit ribosomal RNA
Source: RNAcentral